UAUCGAGCUUAAGCUAACCCUGAAAUGUCAUCUACCUUUUAUUUCUUUGAAAAAGGUAAAUUUUAGAUAAAGCUUUGGUUGGGGCAACCGUGGAGAAAAAGAAUCCUCCAGUUAAUUAGGAAGAAAACAUUUCACCUAAAAAAUUUAGCGACCCAGUUUAUUCUGGAAAACGGAAAAAGUUACCGCAGGAUAACAGCGUUAUCUUCUCUAAGAGCCCAUAUUGACGAGAAGGAUUGCGACCUCGAUGUUGGAUUGGGGUAACCAAAGGGUGUAGCAGCUCUUUAAGGUUGGACUGCUCGUCCAUUAAUUCCCUACAUGAUCUGAGUUCAGACCGACGUAAGUCAGGUCAGCUUCUAUCUUCUAAAUAACCCUUCUAGUACGAAAGGACCGAAGGGAGGCCUUCAAUGACCAACGUUAAAAGGUAAAAAAACAAGAAAAAAAAGUUAAAAAAAAAAACCUUAGUUUAAUCUAGGGAACAUCUGAAAAGGGACACACUGACAACUCACUUAAACCUGCACUGAAAAAAAAGUUUUUGGAUUUUACACAAGGGGACCCCCUUAUAGUUUUUCUAGAAAUUUUGGAUUUUAAGAAACAUGAAA
Molecule: ribosomal RNA, 599 nt
Filed under: Apostichopus californicus
Lineage: Eukaryota; Metazoa; Echinodermata; Holothuroidea; Aspidochirotida; Stichopodidae
Description: partial large subunit rRNA
Rfam family: Bacterial large subunit ribosomal RNA (bases 1-362)
Source: RNAcentral